AGGGCUGUAGCUCCGUGGUUAGAGCAUCUGCUCUGCAUGCAGAAGAUGCCAGGUUCCAUCCCUGGUAUGUCCCA
Non-coding RNA from Podarcis lilfordi (Lilford's wall lizard), 74 nucleotides. Lineage: Eukaryota; Metazoa; Chordata; Lepidosauria; Squamata; Lacertidae. The record is from the annotation of a GenBank genome assembly.